RNAcentral lists this ribosomal RNA (393 nucleotides) under uncultured bacterium. Its description in RNAcentral is "partial 16S ribosomal RNA". It matches the Rfam family "Bacterial small subunit ribosomal RNA", at positions 523 to 918 of the family's 1533-position model. The record is from RNAcentral.
AUACGGAGGAUGCGAGCGUUAUCCGGAUUUAUUGGGGUUAAAGGGUGCGUAGGCGGUUUUUUAAGUCAGCGGUGAAAAGCAAGGGCUCAACCCUUGACCUGCCGUUGAAACUGGAGGACUUGAAUGCGGAUGCUGUGGGAGGAAUGUGGGGUUUAGCGGUGAAAUGGAUAGAUAUCACACAGAACACCGAUUGCGAAGGCAUCUCACAAAUCCGUGAUUGACGCUGAGGCACGAAAGUGUGGGGAUCAAACAGGAUUAGAUACCCUGGUAGUCCACACUGUAAACGAUGAUGACUCGCUGUCGGCGAUAUACAGUCGGUGGCCAAGCGAAAGCGAUAAGUCAUCCACCUGGGGAGUACGACCGCAAGGUUGAAACUCAAAUGAAUUGACGGGG